This 483-nucleotide ribosomal RNA is filed under the name uncultured bacterium. Its description in RNAcentral is "partial 16S ribosomal RNA". It matches the Rfam family "Bacterial small subunit ribosomal RNA", at positions 30 to 506 of the family's 1533-position model. The record is from RNAcentral.
AUUGAACGCUGGCGGCAGGCCUAACACAUGCAAGUCGAGCGGUAGAGAGAAGCUUGCUUCUCUUGAGAGCGGCGGACGGGUGAGUAAUGCCUAGGAAUCUGCCUGGUAGUGGGGGAUAACGUUCGGAAACGGACGCUAAUACCGCAUACGUCCUACGGGAGAAAGCAGGGGACCUUCGGGCCUUGCGCUAUCAGAUGAGCCUAGGUCGGAUUAGCUAGUUGGUGGGGUAAUGGCUCACCAAGGCGACGAUCCGUAACUGGUCUGAGAGGAUGAUCAGUCACACUGGACCUGAGACACGGUCCAGACUCCUACGGGAGGCAGCAGUGGGGAAUAUUGGACAAUGGGCGAAAGCCUGAUCCAGCCAUGCCGCGUGUGUGAAGAAGGUCUUCGGAUUGUAAAGCACUUUAAGUUGGGAGGAAGGGCAGUAAAUUAAUACUUUGCUGUUUUGACGUUACCGACAGAAUAAGCACCGGCUAACUCUGU